GACGAACGCUGGCGGCGUGCUUAACACAUGCAAGUCGAACGGAAAGGCCCCUUUGGGGGUACUCGAGUGGCGAACGGGUGAGUAACACGUGAGUAACCUGCCCUUGACUUCGGGAUAACUUCAGGAAACUGGGGCUAAUACCGGAUAGGAAUCCGUGCUGCAUGGUGGGGGUUGGAAAGCUUCGGCGGUUUUGGAUGGACUCGCGGCUUAUCAGCUUGUUGGUGGGGUAGUGGCUUACCAAGGCUUUGACGGGUAGCCGGCCUGAGAGGGCGACCGGCCACAGUGGGACUGAGAUACGGCCCAGACUCCUACGGGAGGCAGCAGUGGGGAAUAUUGCACAAUGGGCGGAAGCCUGAUGCAGCAACGCCGCGUGCGGGAUGACGGCCUUCGGGUUGUAAACCGCUUUCAGCAGGGGCGAAGCUUGUGGUGACGGUACCUGCAGAAGAAGCACCGGCUAACUACGUG
Molecule: ribosomal RNA, 465 nt
Filed under: uncultured bacterium
Lineage: Bacteria
Description: partial 16S ribosomal RNA
Rfam family: Bacterial small subunit ribosomal RNA
Source: RNAcentral